This 537-nucleotide long non-coding RNA is filed under the name Canis lupus familiaris (dog). Its description in RNAcentral is "lncRNA (ENSCAFG00845021970.1)". Lineage: Eukaryota; Metazoa; Chordata; Mammalia; Carnivora; Canidae. The record is from RNAcentral.
UUUUUUGCUUAAUAGAUUUCUUAAUGUUAAAUAAUUAUUUUAAUCCCAAGAUGAGUUUUCUUUAGUCACAAUUAUUUAAAAGCUACAUUACUGUUUUCUUUCCGCGUGGUUGUUGAGAACUCUGAAGCAAACAAGUGGUGAAUACAAUUUGGAGAGGACUUGGGGGAGGAUAAGUAACGAAUUUUCUCAACCUAUAAUGGCAUCUAAUUCAGCUGUAGAAAUUGACAAUGAAAGCAAGCGGUGGCAAGAGGAUUUUUCAACUACCUUGAAAAAUUGAAGUAAGAAUACUAUCUCAAGGAAUCCUUGAAACAAAUGAAUGUUGGUGAAGAUUUAGAAAGGGAAGAUUUUGACAGUCGUAGAUACAAAUACUUGGAUGAUGAUGGAUCUCUCUCUCCUAUCGAAGAGUCAGAAACAGUGGAAGAGGCUGCAACAACUCUUGAACAUGAUGAUGGAUGUGAUAUCAAAUUGGUGGACAAUAAUGAAUUCAUAGCUUUUCACUUGAAAACAGUGUCUGGACUUAAAGUGGGGAGUUUUUGA